GCCAUUCAAAUUAUCAAAUACCGCAAGCAUUUUGGGGCCUUGUAUCAUUGACUGAACCUAAAUGUAUUAAAGAAUUCCUUGAAGACAAAUCAUGGAUUUAAGUAAUGAAAGAGUACUUGGAUCAAUUGGAAAGAAAUUAAGUCUGUAACUUAGUAAAACAUCAAAAGAAUUACUCAUUGAUAAGAACCAAAUGUGUCAAAGAAAAUGAAGAAGAUAAAGUUUUUCAACAUAAAGUAAGGUUUGUAUCUCAAGGUUAUUCCCAACAAGAAAGUAUUGAUUAUUAUGAAAAUUGUACCCCCGUUGCAUGGUUAGAAUCUAUCCAUAUUCUUUUAGCUUUUGCCUCUUUCAAACUUUUAACUUACUUCAAAUUGAUGUAAUAAGUGCCUUCUCAAAUAGUUUUAUCAAUGAAGUUUUUUUAAACAACCUCUCAAAUUUUAAAUCCCUCUUGUCCAGACUAUGUUUUCUAACUCUCAAAAGUACUCUAUGGUCUUAAACAAGCUCCAAAAUCUUGGGAUGAGAGAUUAAGCACUUUUCUAUUAAAUAAUAAUUAUCAAAGAGGAAUAUUGAAACCAUCAUAUUUAUUCAACAAUUAGAUUCAAAUAUUUUUAUUGUAUGGAAAAUAUUAUUUUUAGAAGUCCUAACACCUCGAUGUGCGAGAACUUUAUUAAUAUUUUGAAAGGAGAAUUCUAGAUGAGCGUCAUGGGUGAGAUAAUUAUUUUAUUAGGGAUACAAAUUAAUAAGUAAACUUCCAAACCUUUAUAAGUCUGUGCAAAUACUUUGGAUUAUGCAUCAAAUGCUUGGUUAUGAUGUGUCAUAUGAGUUGGUUAUUAUUAUGUGUGAUAACACAAGUGCUAUUAGUAUUUCUAAAAAUAUUGCUCAUUGUUUGAAGGCUAAAGAUAUUGAUAUUAAGCAUCAUUUUAUUAUAUAAUAUGUUGAAAAUAAUGACUUUGUGCUAAAUUUUAUUGAUUCAGAAAUUAGCUUGUCAACAUUUUUACAAAAUCUCUCUUAGAUGAAAGAAUUUUCUUCCUAAGCAAAAGACUCGGCAUUACUAGCUUAGAUGUGUAUUUUUUAAAUAGACACAAACACACACACACAUACAUUAUGUGCGUGUGUGCAUUCAAAAUCCAUUUUAAACUUCUUAAACUUUCCUUAUUAUUUUUCCUUACAUAAUAUUUAUUUCUUUGUGUAUAAAGUGUUGUGUGUUUCUAGAAUUAAACUCCUCCAUUCCCAAACUCACUUUGAUUCCCUUUGUCCAAGACACAUCUAUAUAUCUCUAUUACUCUACCCUCUUAUAUAUCAUCAGUUGAUUCGGAGAAACGACUGCUCAUCUCCCCUUUUUUCUCUCAAUAUACACUUUUUUUUCCUCACUUUGCUUCAAUAAUGUCUACUAUGAUAUCCAUGGCUUGUCUUUCUCAAACCCCAACCAACUUAUCACAAAAAUCUUCUACAAACAUCUACAAUCUCUUUUUGAAUUAUUUUGUGGGAGAAUCUGAUAUUUCUACAAGAAAGAUGUCUACAAGGCGAGUUCUUAGUAUAAAGUCUAUUCUUGUAAGAAACAUCACUCAAAAUCCCAUAAAUCCUUCUCAAGAAGACAUGCAAAAAUUUUUGGGAGUUGAAAAGAAGGAGAAGUUUGAGAAUAUCAAAGGUCUCUCUAUAGCUUCUUGGAGAGUGAUUAAUCUGAAACAACUGAAAGAGUAUCAUUGCCCGAUAAGUGAUGUUUUUAAAGAUCAAAAUUUGAAAUUUUUUCUUCAAGUCUAUGGCCUUAAGGUUUUUAAAGAUCUAGUUCACCUAUUCUAUGUGAAUCUUGAUUUCUCAAAACAUAGUAGAGAACUUGACACCUCAAUUUUGGAUACUAGGAAUGUGUUUAAUGACUUUUUAUUUGCCAAGGUGUUUGAUAUUGAAACUACUGGUUGUGUCCCUAUAUGAAUAAUAUUUUACCAAAUAAGUUUUAAUUCUCUUCCAAAGGGGAUAAAUCCAUCAUUGUUGAAUUUAGGACUGAUUUAUCUAUUUUUGAUCCUUUGUCUCUUUGUUUUACACAUUCAAUUCUUGCUCACAUUAUUGUUGCCACUAUUUUUCCUUGAAAAGUUCCCUAAGCAAUAUAUCUACUAGGGAUUUGCUUGUGUUGUAUUGUCUUAGAAAGAAAUACCACCUAAAUUAGAGUAGGUGGUUCUGAUACAUAUGGUUUUGAGUUCUCAAGACUUUAGCAUUUUGACCAGCCUACAUUAUGGAGCACUUAUCACUCAUAUUCUUCUCUACUCCAUGAUUGAUCUCUCUGUUUUUCUUGUUGUGCAUAUAUAGCUGGUACUUAUAACUCUCAUGACUUCAAAAGCAUGACGUAUGUGCUAGUUGUGUUUCAAUUACAAAAAGGAUUUUAUCAAGGCUCGAGCUACAAAAUAUAAGCCAAAAAGUCCUUAUCUAACUCUAUAACGGUAUUCUAAAAGAGGUAGAAGGAUUAUAAGAGAGGUUGGUGAUCUUGGAGGAUGGCAUGCAUUAUUUGUAGGAAUCAUUGGGUAAAAUAUGACAGGUCAUGAAGAAAACUAGUAUUGUUGUGGGUAAGCUCAGAAUAACAUUGGACAACUUAAAAGGUGAGGGUGUUCACGACAAGUGUACUCCAUGAAAGAUAGAGCCAGCUCUUCCCACAAUGAGCUUGUCAUUACCUUGCAAACUUCUUAUUGUAACUUUUUAAGAAAUGUGCUAAAGUCAUAUGAUGUUUUCUCUGAGAAUAUGAUCAACACCUUAUUUUAUUUAGAAAAACUGAUUUCCUUGUCUUGGUGAUUCAAUAUGGGUGUGUCCAAUCAGACAGUCUUGUUUAGUUAACUUUAUACAUUAUUUUGAUUCCAUCUCUAUUCUUUGGGGUCUAAACUGACCUAAUUUCUUCUGCUCUAGUAUGACAUUUUAUUUUAUUAUUUUUAUAUAUGUUUUUAUGCAUCUUUUCUUUUUUUAUUAGGCCAAAGGGGAAGAAUACAAGUAAAAACAUGCAGCACUAGUUAAGGGGGAGCUAGCAUAACUUGAAAGGGAGCAAACCUAUUUCAGAGAUGUUAAGGGAAGUGAAAUUAUGUGAAAUAUUUUUGCUAUUGUAAUUAUUAAAAAUGGUGAGAUUGUUAUCACCAUGUGGUUUCAAUAAUGACAAAAUUAAUUCCUAUUAAAUUGCAAGAUGAAUAUGGUAGGAGUUGGACAAGUUAUUUAUUUGAAAAGAAAAGUCCUUAGAAAAAGAAAAGAAUCAGAUCAGGUUGAUGGACUUGAAGAAUGAAAGAAAGGAGUUUAUUUUGUAUAUUCUGAUUUGCAAAAUAAGAUGCCAACAUAAGUCAAGAAAUAUGGGUGUAUCUGAUACAAACAUAUGACAUUAUCUAGGAAUUAAUUUUAUCCCUAGAUAACUACACAAAAGUCCCUUGAGUUCCCCAAAGUAAUAGAGUAAGGAGUUAUAAAAAGAAAAUUCUAAUUCCCUCAAAUUGAGGAAUCUCAAUUAGGCAACAAAGAGGAGAUUGAUCAAGAUUCUAUAACGGUUACUUUCUUCUAAUUCAUGUAUAAAUAUAGCAUAGAAACCUAGGUUUUCUUUCUACAUCUUCACUUAAGAAAAAAACUCUACCUACUUCUUAUUCUUAUACAAAUUAUUGCAAUACGUUAUAGUAAAAGCAAAAGAAAAGAGCCUAAAAGCUAUACAAGUAGAGGAUACUACCAUUCUCAUGAAGUUAACCCAUAAUUCUUGUGAGAAAAAUACUGUAAUCAUUCAAGUUACGCUAAGGGAACCUCUUAUAACCCAAGUAGAUUGAAAGUAGGCACCACAAAGGUAUUUCAAACCAGGAUAAAUUGUUGUGUCAUGUACUUAUUUCUAUUAUUUACUUUAUGUUAUUAUUUUAUUUCUUGAACUAACAUUGUUGUGAAGAAAAGUUGACAAAUUGGUCAUUGUAAUUGACUUAAUGUAUACAAUUUUAGUUUACCCCUCCCCCUCCCCUCUUAAUUAUCAUCCACUCUUUUUAAAAGUAUUGUUGAAGUUUGAGGUACUUGACCUGUACGAGACAAGAUAUACUCUUUGCAGUCAGAGUAGUUAGUCACUUCAUGAAAGCUCCUACCUCCACUCACUUAAUGGUCACUAGAAGAAUUAUUCGUUACGUUAAAGGUACAAUUAUUAACCUUGGGAUAUUUUAUUCAUCCUCUAAUGAGUUUGACCUUAUGGGAAUUUUUAUAACGAUUAUACAGGAAAUGAGGUUGGUAGAAAAAGUACAUUAAAUUUUGUGUUUUUCUUAGGUGAUUUUGUUGUUUCUUGGAUCUCAAAGAAACAAUUCAUUUUGACACUCUUGACUUACGACACUGAAUAUGUGGUAGAAUCAUCCUAUACAUGUUAUGCGAUUUGGCUAAGAAGAUUGCUAAAGGAGCUCGAUUUAUCAUAAGUUAAAGCCACAAUGAUUUAUGGUGAUAACAAAUCUACAUAGGAUGUUGCCAAGAAUAUAGUAUAUCAUGAUUGAAGUAACCACAUAGAUAGAAGGUACCACUUUAUUAGAAAAUGUAUUGCCAAAAAGGAGGUAGAACUCAAGUUUGUAAAAUCUCAUAAUCAAGUUGUUGAUAUCUUUACAAAGCCUCUCAAAUUUGAAGACUCUCAAAUAUUAAGAUCAAGAUUUAGGAUGAAAAAAUAAAAAAUAAGGGAAAGAUUUUUGAGACCAUUAAGUAAAUAUAAUAAAAGAAAUAAAAUGAAUAAAAAUAAAAAAUAAAAUUAUGAGCAGCAGUAGAAGUUGAAAGACAAGUUGUUAUAUUUGUUUUUCAGUGGCCGCAUAUCUUGGAAAUUGCAACUUUGAAAAUUUAAGAAAUCCAAUAUUUUUAUUGGUUAGAUUUUAAAGAAAGUUUUCCUAUAAAAGAAGGCCUUUGUUCGUUCAAUCGAAGCACACCUAUUUUUUAUUCUAUGAGAAAUAGUGUGAGAGUAAUAUUUUAGUGACUUGUGUGAAAUGAAAAAGUGAUAGUUAUUUUAUAAGAGUGAUAGUCUUUUGACAUUGUCAAAUUGUAACUAAUGGUAUUGUAUUACUCCAUUUGAAUAUUAUGUUUACCCCAAAAAUAACAAAUUUUAGUAGAUGAAUUAUAUGUUCCUAACAAAAGUUAAUUAACCCUACCCCGAAAAAACCCUAAUUAUUCAUCCGGCUGCCAUGGCCUCCACCUCUUCCGGUGGGCUUAAACCACUGGAGGAGUAGUCUCACAUGAAUGUCGAUGCUAAUGUUGUUCAAAGUACUAAUUGAUGUUAUAGGAAGAACCUAGUAUCACAUGGAAAAGUUUAGAGAUACAACACUUGAUUGUAUAAGAAAAUUUACAAUAUUAUAUAGUUGGUAAAUUUUCAUGUGGUAAACCCGAUAUGAAUGAACCUCGCAAGGUUAUUCCAGGUCAAUGUGGUAUAAAAGGAGAUUGCACAAUCGGUGUUCUUGAUGCUAGACAUAUUUUAAUUUGUUUAGAAGUUCUUGAAGACUAUGUUACGCUUUUAUCAACGUCAGCAUAUUAUAUCAAGGCUAAGAAUAAAUAUUAGCAGAUGAGAAUAUUGCUAUGGGACCCCUGGUUUGAACCUGAUAUUGAAAUAUCAAUAAGGGUAGCUUGGAUUUCAAUGUAAGAUUUACCUCCAAAUUUCUUUGCAAAAGAGGUUGUCUUUUCUAUAGCAUCAGCUAUCGGGAAACCUUUGACAGUAGACAUGGCAAUGAGAAAUAAAAUAUAACCUAGUUGUUCUAAGGUCAAAGUCGAGGUGGAUUUGGUAGUUAAACUUCCACAAAGAGUAUGAAUUAAUGAAAAAAUUGACAUAACAGGUGCAAUUAAACCGAAAUGGGUAGCAAUGCAAUAUGAUCAUAUGCCCAAGUACUGUAAAGAGUGUUGUUUGCAGGAGCAUGAUAAGAAUAGUUGUUGGAACAUUUAUCCUGAGUUGUAUGAAAAUACAGGAGACAAAUAGUUACCAGAACAAAUUCAAGGAAAUAAAGAUGGUGCAACCUGUAAUGUUGAAAAGGAAGUAUUAGCAAAAAUCAGCAAUAAUGAAAGAACAAACAAUAAGUUGCAAUGGCAUACAAGGAGGAAUAAAUACAAAAAAGACAAAUAUGGGCACAUAACAGGUGAAGUUGGGAAAGAUGCAGUUGAAAAUGUUCCAAUUAAUAAUAAUUUGACAUCUUUAUAACAAGAAGAGGAGAAUGAGGAGAGGCAAGAUAAAUAACACAUGGAAUAUAUGCAAAAGGAGGAUAAGGAGCAGAAUCAAAGCACCAAAUAAGGGGUUACAAAUACUUUUGGUGUUGAACAAGGAGUAAAGAAUACGAACAAAAAUACUAGCCCCAAGCAGAGGCAAGUUCAGGGGAAAGGAAUAUAGACUCAUGUAGAUGGAGAGCAGAAACAAUAAUUAAUGGAACUAGCACUUGUUGAACAUUCUAAUGAAUCAGAAAAAGUAGAGGAAGGAGUAGUAUACUACCUUUGGCCAUACAGGCUAAUCACCAAAUGGAAUUGGCAAACAAGGACAAAGAAUCCUUGGAUAAGGGAGAUUUAGAAGACAAUAUUGAUAGAGUGACCAUUGAGGGAGGAUUAUGUCCAAAGAAAAUUGACACAAUUAAAUCAGCAGCUGGGAAAAAGAAGAAAAAGCACAACAAAGCAAGUGCUAACACAAUGCUUACCAGAAGUCAAUCUAAAAAUAACUUAGUAUGAAAGCAUUAUUGUGGAACAUAAGAUUAGUUAAUACAAAGAAAGCUUUUUCAAGACUGAUCUCAAUGCAAAAAAGACACCAUUUCCUCUUUAUUGGUCUCAUGGAAACUUUUCAUGAUGCCAACAUAAUUAAGGAGUACAGAACCAGAUUAGGUAUGCAGCAAGUAGUAAGUAAUUCCUCUGGAAAAAUAUAGGCUUUUUGCGAUGGAGGAGUCCAAUGUAAUGUGGUAAAAGAUGAAGAGCAGAAAUUAACUUUGAAGAUUUUUACUUAAGAAGAAGGAACUGGAGUAGUAGUUACUAAGUGUACAAAUCAGGAAAGGAUGGCAUUAUGGGAAUCUCUAGCAGAUAUGGCUCAAUCUAUGAAUAAAUCAUGGAUGGUUGGGGGAGAUUUCAAUGUAGUAACUAGCAAUGAAGAAAAACUUAGAGGCUUAUCUAUUACAGUAGCAGAUACAACUGAUUUUAAUCACUAUAUUAGUAUUUGUAAUUUAGAAGACCCAGGUUUUAAAAGGAGUAAGUUUACAUGGAGGAAUGGGAGAUUGGAUGAGGCUUGUAUAUUUGAGAGGCUAGACAGAGUAUUAUGGAAUAACAAACUGCAAAAUUUGCUCCAAGUACUAAAAGUAGAGCAUUUGCCUAAAAGUGGAUCAGAUCAAACUCCUUUACUAUUGCAGAUGUAUAAUCCUCAGGAAAAAAGAUCAUUAAAUCUUUUAGAUUUCUAAACUUUUGGCUAAAGGAUGAGACUUGUUUAGAGCUAAUUAGGCAGAAUUAGACAAUAGAAGUGUAGGGUAAUCCAUCUAUCAUGUUUUAUCACAAGUUGAAGAAAACUAGUAAAGCAUUAACUCAGUGGAGUAAAGAGAGAUUUGAUAAUAUUUUUCGAGAAAUUUCAUCUCUUGAGGAAGCUAUUAAAGUAUUAGAGGUCCAAUUUGAAUAGAAUCCAACUGGAGAUAAUAGAAAUAAAUUAUUCAAAGUGCAGGUAGACCUGAAUAUGCAACUCAGAAGGGAGAAGGACUUUUGAAAACAAAAGUCAGGAUUUGAGUAGUUUAAGGAUGCUAGGAGGAACACUAAAUUUUUCCAAAUUAUUAUAAGAUUUAGAAGAAACAGGCUGAAGGUAAAUAGAAUUCAAAAUGAAGAAGUGGAGUGGAUGGAUAAUCAGGUAGACAUCUCUGAGGCUGUAGUCAGAUUUUUUUGAAAAGCAAUUUACCAAAGGGUAGCAAUGUGAAGACUUCUCUAUUUUGAAGGAAAUACCAUAGGUAAUUGAUUCUAAUCAAAACAAAGAGUAGAUUGUAUAUCCAACAAUGCAGAAAGACAAAGAAGUUGGAAUGGGUCUUAGCAGAAAUAGUGCAGGAGGGCCAGAUGGUAUGACUGGAUCAUUUUAUCAAGAUUCUUGGGAAAUUAUUAGGAAUGACAAUUAAGAUGUGGUAAAUAUAUUUUUGGUGGAUAUGAACUGCCCAAGUUUAUUACCCACACAAAUUUAGUAAUGUUACCAAAGAAGUUGGUGCUUAACACUUUUUCUGACUUUAGACCAAUUUCUCUAUAUAAUUUUAUCAACAAGAUAUUUCCAAGAAUCAUAAAUGAUAGAAUUAAGAAGUUGUUGCCAUGGAUUAUCUCAGAAGAGCAAGCUGGUUUUAUAAAUAGGAGUAUAGCAGAGAAUAUUCUAGUGGUACAGGAGAUUAUGUCAAAAAUUAAUAAAAGACAUAAGCCUCCUAACAUAGUCUUAAAGCUGGAUAUGAUAAAAGAUAUGAUAGGGUAGAAUUGAUUUUCUUGACAAAAGUCAUGAGAAAAAUAGGUUUUGGAGAAGUUAUUAUAGAAUUGGUGUAUAGGCUGUUGAGUAAUAAUUGGUAUUUAAUCCUUUUAAAUAGUCAACCUAAGGGGUUCUUUAGACCUACUAGAGGUUUGAAACAAUGAGAUCCUCUGUCACCAACUCUUUUUAUUAUUGCAACUGAGGUAAUGUCCAGGUCUCUUAAUAAGUUAUUGUUGAAUAAAGAGUUCAAAACUUUUGGGAUUCCUAGAGGAAGUUCUAAAUUGAAUAAUUUAGCUUUUCAUGAUGAUAUGAUUAUUUUAUGCAAGGCAAAUAUCAAUACUUUGAGAUUGUUGACAGAAAAUUUAGAGAAGUAUGAGAGAGCUUCAGCACAUAGGAUCAAUAAUGAUAAGAGUCCUAUAUAUUUGCAUAAAAAUAUGUCUUAUGGGGUAGCGGCUAUGGCAGAGGUGAUAACGGGAAUAAUGAGGAAUGAUUUCCCUUUUACUUACCUUGGUUGUCCUAUUUCCAUAUGAGAAAGAAGAAAGAUUACUAUCAGGGGUUGAUGAAUAGAAUAAGUGGUACUUGCUAUGUUGGAAGGGUAAGUUACUAUCAUAUGGGGGAAGGGCCAUUUUGAUUAAACAUGUUCUUCAGAGUAUUCCAGUUCACUGUUUAGCAAUAAUGAAUCCCCCAAUGAAUGUAGUGAAUCAAAUACUGGGGAUUCUUGCUCAAUUUUUUGGAGCAGCUACAUAGGGGGUAACAGUAAACAUUAGGUAAAGUGGCAAGAUAUAUGUGUACCUGAGGAAGAAGGGGGGUUAGGCUUUAGAUUGUUAAAACAUAUUUCUAUGGCUUUAUUUUGCAAACUAUGGUGGAACUUCAUAACCAAAAAGUCUAUUUGGGUGGACUAUAUGCAUAAUAAGUAUUGUUAGAAAUAACAUCCUAAUAUGAUUCUGUGCAAGAAAAUAGCUGGGGGUUCACAAGUGUGGAAGAAAAUGUUAUAGGCUAGAGAUUUGAUAGAGCAUCAAAUAUUAUGGAAAGUCAGGAUUGUAGAAUCUACCACUUGGUGGGACAACUGGAAAACAUUAGGGAGUCUGUACCAUGUUACAGAAAUUGACUUGAUGUGGGAUGAUAGGUUUCAGAAGCUAAUAACAUUGACAAGGCAAGCAACAUGGAAUGUUACUGUGUUGAAUCAGUUAGUGCCAGGGGAAAUUGUUAAUCACACCCUAGAUAAUGUACAGCCACCAGAUAGGAGUAGGGAAAAUGAUAAACCCAUUUGGAUACUUAAAUCUAAUAGGAAAUUUACUUUUAAGUAUGCCUAGUAGUAUAUUAGGCAGAUGAAGGAAAAGAGUGAAAUUUUCAAGGAUAUGUGGAUAAAAGGGCUACCUUUAAAAUUCUCCUUUCUAAUAUGGAGAAUUUGGAAAGGAAAAAUACCAGUUGAAGAGGGUGUUAGAAAGUGGGGGUGGAAGGCCCUACCAAAUGUUGGUGUUGUACUACCCAUGCUCAAGAUACCAUUUCACAUGUGUUUCUGAUAGCUUCUAUUUCUAACAAGACAUGGUCCUACUUUUCCUAUUUUACAGGUAUAAAUAUACAAGGACUAAACUUUAUGAAGACUGUCAUGGAAUAGUGGAAUACAGAUGUUAGACUCGGAGAUAAAAGUUAUUAUCUAGAUCUCCCUAAAAUUAUUAUUUGGGAGUUGUGGAAAACAAGAAACAAAGGGAAACAUAAAGGGAAGCAGCUAUCUGAGCACAGUGUGUAGCACAACAUCAUUAGAAACAUUAGAUUAUUACUGAAAGUAAGAAAGCCAUACCAAGAAUUUCCUAAUACAUGGCCAGAAAUUUUGAUAGAGUUGGCAAGGCACAAAACAACGAUAAUAGUCAUAAAGGUAAAAUGGGAUUUUUCUCAACAAGAAUGGAUUAUAAUCAAUACAGAUGGAGCCUCUAGGGGGGAAAUUCGGGGGCAAGCUAUUAUGCAUUUUGUGUGAGGGAUUAUAAGGGGAUUUAGGGUAUGCAAAAGGAGAAAUCAUUGAAGAUACUACAAAUAUACAAGUAGGAGUAGAAGCUAUACUACAAGUAGCAUUACAUUGUAACAAGGCACAUAUUAGAAAAGUAGUCAUACAAACUGACUCUUUCAGCAUACUAAAGUUUUUAAAACAACAACAGUGUCCAUGGAGCAUAGAGGAUAAAGUAAAUCAAACAUGGAAGUUAUUGCAACAUAUAACAGUCCAGUAUCAGCACAUUCUGAGAGAAGGGAAAAAAUUGGUUGAUUACUUUGCUAAUUAUGCAUUUGAAGUAAAGGAAUUCACAUUCAUAAGCUUUCAACGGAUGCAAAAAACUAGAAAGGAAAUACUCAACAGUGAUAAAUCUUAGAUACCAUAGUUGAGAUUGUCACCUCAAAAAGGGUGAAAACAUAGAUCAAGCAAUUCUAAUAUACAGAAGCUUAUAUAAGUAAUCUAUUGCUUAGGCUACUAUACACAAGAAUACAAAGGUUCUAUCAGUAAAAAGAAAGUGGAUCUAUGGCAACCUAUGACCUAAGUGAUGGCUUUAAUCCAAAGGCUAGUAGAUAUCUACUCUGGUAUCUUUUUCCUGUCUACUACAAUAUUUAAGGAGAUCAAGUCGAGAAAAGAAAUUAUUACUCACAAGGUAGCUGCCACUUACUUAAGAAAUACAACCAGAUCCAGGAUAAUAGGACCUUUAAGGUGAUCAAAAAUGACUUUUGCUAUUCCAAAUGUCAAAGAUAUCACCUAGAUUUUGGACAGAGGAGGCAAGUCAAUCAAAGAGGAAAGCUAGAACAACAACAUAAAUGGAGAAGUAGCUACAUACAAUUAUAAGUGGAUAUAAGAGCUCAGAGAUAGCUUCCAUGGAAAGGAAUCAAUAACUGGAGCUGAAGAUGGACGCUGUAAAUGGUAGGCGGCAACAUUAAUUCUUAGAUAGAAAAGGUGGAAAAUGUGAAAUGUUUUAGGAAACCCUAUUUCUAAGGGUCUACAUCUCAAACUCGUUUAGG
This 11377-nucleotide long non-coding RNA is filed under the name Capsicum annuum. RNAcentral describes it as "long non-coding RNA (CANN_LNC015716)". The record is from RNAcentral. Lineage: Eukaryota; Viridiplantae; Streptophyta; Magnoliopsida; Solanales; Solanaceae.